RNAcentral lists this ribosomal RNA (619 nucleotides) under Porpidia melinodes. RNAcentral describes it as "LSU rRNA". It matches the Rfam family "Eukaryotic large subunit ribosomal RNA", at positions 33 to 667 of the family's 3401-position model. Lineage: Eukaryota; Fungi; Ascomycota; Lecanoromycetes; Lecideales; Lecideaceae. The record is from RNAcentral.
ACUAAGCAUAUCAAUAAGCGGAGGAAAAGAAACCAACAGGGAUUGCCUCAGUAACGGCGAGUGAAGCGGCAACAGCUCAAAUUUGAAAUCUGACCCCUCCGGGGCCCGAGUUGUAAUUUGUAGAGGACGCUUCGGGUGCGGCGCCGGUCUAAGUUCCUUGGAACAGGACGUCAUAGAGGGUGAGAAUCCCGUAUGCGACCGGCGGCCAACCCCAUGUGAAGCCCCUUCGACGAGUCGAGUUGUUUGGGAAUGCAGCUCAAAAUGGGUGGUAAAUUUCAUCUAAAGCUAAAUACCGGCCAGAGACCGAUAGCGCACAAGUAGAGUGAUCGAAAGAUGAAAAGCACUUUGGAAAGAGAGUCAAACAGUACGUGAAAUUGUUGAAAGGGAAGCGCUUGCAACCAGACCUGCCCGCGGGCGAUCAACCGUUAUUCUUAGCGGUGCACUCGUCCGCGAUCAGGCCAGCAUCGGUUCGGGCGGCCGGACAAAGGCUUCGGGAAUGUAGCUCCCCCCGGGGAGUCUUAUAGCCCGGGGUGCAAUGCGGCCAGCCCGGACCGAGGACCGCGCUUCGGCUAGGAUGCUGGCGUAAUGGUUGUAAGCGACCCGUCUUGAAACACGGACC